Molecule: ribosomal RNA, 441 nt
Filed under: uncultured bacterium
Lineage: Bacteria
Description: partial 16S ribosomal RNA
Rfam family: Bacterial small subunit ribosomal RNA
Source: RNAcentral
CCUACGGGAGGCAGCAGUGGGGAAUAUUGCACAAUGGGCGAAAGCCUGAUGCAGCAACGCCGCGUGAAGGAAGACGGUUUUCGGAUUGUAAACUUCUGUUUUUAGUGAAGUAUAAUGACGGUAACUAAGGAGCAAGCCACGGCUAACUACGUGCCAGCAGCCGAGGUAAUACGCAGGUGGCAAGCGUUGUCCGGAAUUACUGGGUGUAAAGGGAGCGUAGGCGGGAAUGCAAGUCAGCUGUGAAAACUACGGGCUUAACCUGUAGACUGCAGUUGAAACUGGCUUUCUUGAGUGAAGUAGAGGUUGGCGGAAUUCCGGGUGUAGCGGUGAAAUGCUUAGAUAUUCGGAGGAACACCGGUGGCGAAGGCGGCCAACUGGGCUUUAACUGACGCUGAGGCUCGAAAGUGUGGGGAGCAAACAGGAUUAGAUACCCGUGUAGUC